RNAcentral lists this unclassified non-coding RNA (1959 nucleotides) under Hevea brasiliensis (rubber tree). Lineage: Eukaryota; Viridiplantae; Streptophyta; Magnoliopsida; Malpighiales; Euphorbiaceae. The record is from RNAcentral.
GAUUUCUCUUCUUUCUUUCUUCUAAUAAUAAUAAUUGAAUUGUGAGAAUGCUAAUCUACGGCCCUCUUUCACCUGGUCAGGUGUCAUUUUUUCUUGGAAUUGUGCCGAUAUGUGCUGCUUGGUUAUAUUCAGAGUAUUUAGAGUAUAAGAAAAAUUCAGCAUCAUCCAAAGUUAGGCAUUCUGAUAUCAACUUGGUUGAGUUGGGAGAUGAAGCAGUCAAAGAAGAUGAUAGAGCUGUCCUAUUGGAAGGAGGUGGUCUUCAAUCAACAUCGCCUAGAAUCAGAAGUUCAUCUGUGACAUCUCAGUUUACUAGGUUUUUCUUGAUGGAUGAAACUUUCUUGCUUGAAAAUCGAUUAACUCUGAGAGCAAUAUCAGAGUUUGGUACCCUUUUGAUUUACUUUUACAUAUCUGACCGUACAAAUCUGUUUGGUGAAUCAAAAAAGAGCUACAAUCGUGAUCUUUUCAUCUUCCUAUACUUCCUUCUCAUCAUUGUCUCAGCAAUCACUUCUUUUAAGAUCCACCAUGAUAAGUCUCCUUUCUCCGGAAAAUCUAUAAUGUAUUUGAAUCGGCAUCAAACUGAAGAAUGGAAAGGAUGGAUGCAGGUUAUUUUUAAUGUAUCACUACUUUGCUGCCACAGAAAUUUACAAUGCUAUACGAGUUUUUAUAGCUGCAUACGUAUGGAUGACUGGGUUCGGGAACUUCUCUUACUACUACAUCCGCAAGGAUUUCAGCAUUGCAAGAUUCGCUCAGAUGAUGUGGAGGCUUAACUUCUUGGUAUUCUUUAGCUGUGUUAUCCUUAACAACAAUUACAUGUUGUACUAUAUAUGCCCCAUGCACACUCUUUUUACACUGAUGGUUUAUGGGGCCCUUGGUAUAUUCAACAAAUACAAUGAAAAUGGGACAAUUAUUGCCGUUAAAUUCAUUGUCUGCUUCUUGUUUGUUAUUCUGAUGUGGGAAGUUCCAGGAGUCUUUGAAGUGGUUUGGAGCCCAUUUACUUUCUUCCUUGGAUAUGCUGACCCUGAUCCUUCAAAACCAAAGCAGUCUCUCUUGCAUGAAUGGGAAUUCCGUUCAGGCCUUGAUCGUUACAUCUGGAUAAUUGGGAUGAUAUAUGCAUACUACCAUCCAACAGUAGAGAAAUGGAUGGAGAAACUUGAGGAAACUGAAGUGAAACGUAGGAUAUCAAUAAAAGCAGCUGUUGCCAUAAUGUCACUCACGAUGGGAUAUCUUUGGUAUGAGUACAUAUACAAGCUUCCGAAGGAGACAUAUAACAAAUAUCACCCUUACACAUCUUGGAUACCGAUAACUGUCUACAUAUCCUUGCGGAAUGUUACCCAAUAUUUUCGUAGCUACACGUUAACCCUUUUUGCAUGGCUUGGGAAGAUCACUUUGGAGACUUAUAUAUCGCAAAUCCAUAUAUGGUUAAGAUCUGGUGUGCCAGACGGACAGCCUAAAAAGUUGCUGUGUUUGAUCCCCGGCUACCCAUUGAUGAACUUCAUGCUUACCACUGCCAUAUAUGUUGCAGUUUCUCACAGAUUAUUUGAAUUGACAAACACUUUGAAAUCCACGUUUAUUCCCAUGAAAGAGGAUAAACGUCUUGGCUACAACAUAGUUGCGGCUUUAGUUGUAUCAGGUCUUCUAUAUGUCUUGUCCUCAGUAUUUCUAAGGGUACCUCAGAUGCUGGUGUAAAUGGGUAACGUACAUUAUAUGAAGGCAGAUACAAUUUGUGAGCCAACUACAACUGGCUAUUGUUUCUUGUUUACAUAAUUAAACAGAGAGAGAUACUCAACUGGAUUAUAGUUCUUAGUUUAGGAUUCUUUGUAUAUACAGUCUGGCUCUUAAACUCAACUUUUGGAUUGUGCAGUUUGUAUUUUUCACAUUUUGUAAUGUAGACCUUCUAACUGCGAGGCCGAUAUACCAAUUUACUUAUCUAUAUUGUUCUACCUGAGUAAUAUAUUUGAA